RNAcentral lists this ribosomal RNA (407 nucleotides) under uncultured bacterium. Its description in RNAcentral is "partial 16S ribosomal RNA". It matches the Rfam family "Bacterial small subunit ribosomal RNA", at positions 30 to 526 of the family's 1533-position model. The record is from RNAcentral.
AUUGAACGCUGGCGGCAGGCCUAACACAUGAAAGUCGAGCGGAGCGGCGGACGGGUGAGUAAUGCCUAGGAAUCUGCCUGGUAGUGGGGGAUAACGUCCGGAAACGGGCGCUAAUACCGCAUACUAUCAGAUGAGCCUAGGUCGGAUUAGCUAGUUGGUGGGGUAAAGGGCUACAAAGGCGACGAUCCGUCACUGGUCUGAGAGGAUGAACAGUCAGACUGGAACUUAGACACGGUCCAGAAUCCACAGGGGAGCAACAGUGGGGAAGAAUGGGCAAGGGUCGAAAGCCUGAUCCAGCCCUGCCGCGUGUGUGAAGAAGUGCUUCGGAUUGUAAAGCACUUUAAGUUGGGAGGCGUUACCAACAGAAUAAGCACCGGCUAACGUCGUGCCAGCAGCCGCGGUAAAAC